UUCAAGUGCUCAUGACCAGUAUCUCCAUC
RNAcentral lists this non-coding RNA (29 nucleotides) under Mus musculus (house mouse). The record is from RNAcentral. Lineage: Eukaryota; Metazoa; Chordata; Mammalia; Rodentia; Muridae.